This 477-nucleotide ribosomal RNA is filed under the name uncultured bacterium. RNAcentral's name for it is "partial 16S ribosomal RNA". It matches the Rfam family "Bacterial small subunit ribosomal RNA", at positions 28 to 507 of the family's 1533-position model. The record is from RNAcentral.
GAUUAACGCUGGCGGCGUGCAUAACACAUGCAAGUCGAACGAUGAAACUUUAAUGACCCCUUCGGGGAGAAUUAAAGCGGAUUAGUGGCGAACGGGUGAGUAACGCGUGAGUAACCUGCCUUACACAAGGGGAUAGCCUUUGGAAACGAAGAAUAAUACCCUAUAAAACCAUAAAAGCACAUGCAAUUAUGGUCAAAGUGAUAGCGGUGUAAGAUGGACUUGCGUCUGAUUAGCUAGUUGGUGAGAUAAAAGCCCACCAAGGCAACGAUCAGUAGCCGGCUUGGGGGAGUGUACGGCCACAUUGGGACUGGGACACGGCCCAGACUCCUACGGGAGGCAGCAGUGGGGAAUUUUGCACAAUGGGGGAAACCCUGAUGCAGCGACGCCGCGUGAUUUAGAAGGCCUUCGGGUUGUAAAAAUCUUUUGUAUAGGAAGAAAAUGACAGUACUAUACGAAUAAGGUCCGGCUAAUUACGUG